Molecule: transfer RNA, 63 nt
Filed under: Pochazia shantungensis
Lineage: Eukaryota; Metazoa; Arthropoda; Insecta; Hemiptera; Ricaniidae
Description: tRNA-Asp
Source: RNAcentral
AAGGAGUUAGUUUAAAAAAACAGUUACUUGUCAAGUAAAAUUUACAUAAAAAUGUACACCUUG